RNAcentral lists this long non-coding RNA (391 nucleotides) under Mytilus galloprovincialis (Mediterranean mussel). The record is from RNAcentral. Lineage: Eukaryota; Metazoa; Mollusca; Bivalvia; Mytilida; Mytilidae.
UCAUUAAUUAAAUUGUUCAAUGAUCUUUACACAUCCACACAUGUCGAAAGAAGCUGGAUGUGUUCCUCGUGUUGAUGGCAUCGGAUCGUGUGGUGACAGUUCGGUUUACCUUUUAAUUUCGUCAUUUGCUGGCACUUGCAAAUGAAAAUCCUUUCUUGUAGAAUUACCGUCUCUUCGAUAGUUUCAUAUGAAAAUAUUGGAAUAUGAUAUGAGGAUGUCAAUGAUUUUUUACGAUUACAUUUAUGAAACUUUUACAUAUCUGGCUACAAGAGUGGCUAGUGCAAUGUAAUGCUGACGAGUCAUGUGACGUUGAUUGGCGGGAAACGAGAACCGGAUCCGAAUGAUGCAGUAACCGUUUCUCUUUAAUUAAAUUGGUUUAUCUUAUGAAAGA